GUCUGUUUGUAGUUAUAAAAAGUCUAGCCUGCCCACUGAUAGUUUUAAAGGGCCGCGGUAUUCUGACUGUGCAAAGGUAGCAUAAUCGUUAGUUUUUUAAUUGGAAUCUUGUAUGAAUGGUUUGACAAAAAAAAAUCUGUCUUUAUAAAUAUUAUUUGAAUUUAACUUUUAAGUGAAAAGGCUUAAAUAAAUUAAAAAGACGAUAAGACCCUAUAAAGCUUAAUAUUAAAUUUUUAUUUAAUUAAAUUUUAAAUAGUAUAAAAAUUUGGUAAUUAAAUUUUAUUUUAUUGGGGUGAUAAUGGUAUAAUGAUUAUUAACUGUUAAUUAUUUAAACAAUAAUAAAUGUGUAAAUAUUAAUAAAUGAUCCUAUAUUAAAGAUUAAAAGUUUAAGUUACUUUAGGGAUAACAGCGUUAUUUUUUUUGAGAGUUCUUAUCGAGAAAAAAGUUUGCGACCUCGAUGUUGAAUUAAAAUAUCUAUAUAAUUGCAGUAGUUAUAUAAGAAGGUCUGUUCGACCUUUAAAAUUUUACAUGAUUUGAGUUCAGACCGGUGUGAGCCAGGUCGGUUUCUAUCUUUUAAUGUAUAAUAAUUAUUUUAGUACGAAAGGAUUAAAUAAUUAAAAUUGUUUUUAAAAAUUUUGAAUAAAA
This 645-nucleotide ribosomal RNA is filed under the name Platychirarma buettikoferi. RNAcentral describes it as "Chiromantes buettikoferi partial large subunit ribosomal RNA". The stretch from base 402 to 561 matches the Rfam family "Bacterial large subunit ribosomal RNA", at positions 2473 to 2632 of the family's 2925-position model. The record is from RNAcentral. Lineage: Eukaryota; Metazoa; Arthropoda; Malacostraca; Decapoda; Sesarmidae.